CCUACGAGAGGCAGCAGUGGGGAAUAUUUCACAAUGGGGGAAACCCUGAUGCAGCGACCCCGCGUGAGUGAAGAAGUAAUUCGUUAUGUACAGCUCUAUCAGCAGGGAAGAAAAUGACGGUACCUGAGUAAGAACCCCCGGCUAACUACGUGCCAGCAGCCGCGUUAAUCCGUAGGGGGCAAGCGUUAGCCGGAUUUACUGGGUGGAAAGGGAGCGUAGACGGCAGUGCAAGUCUGGAGUGAAAGGCGGGGGCUCAACCCCCGGACUGCUCUGGAAACUGUACGGCUGGAGUGCAGGAGAGGUAAGUGGAAUUCCUAGUGUAGCGGUGAAAUGCGUAGAUAUUAGGAGGAACACCAGUGGCGAAGGCGGCUUACUGGACUGUAACUGACGUUGAGGCUCGAAAGCGUGGGGAGCAAACAGGAUUAGAUACCCUGGUAGUC
Molecule: ribosomal RNA, 440 nt
Filed under: uncultured bacterium
Lineage: Bacteria
Description: partial 16S ribosomal RNA
Rfam family: Bacterial small subunit ribosomal RNA
Source: RNAcentral